RNAcentral lists this ribosomal RNA (253 nucleotides) under uncultured bacterium. RNAcentral's name for it is "partial 16S ribosomal RNA". It matches the Rfam family "Bacterial small subunit ribosomal RNA", at positions 524 to 776 of the family's 1533-position model. The record is from RNAcentral.
UACGUAGGGUGCAAGCGUUGUCCGGAAUUAUUGGGCGUAAAGAGCUCGUAGGCGGUCUGUCGCGUCUGCUGUGAAAACUCGGGGCUUAACCCCGGGCCUGCAGUGGGUACGGGCAGACUAGAGUGCGGUAGGGGAGACUGGAAUUCCUGGUGUAGCGGUGAAAUGCGCAGAUAUCAGGAGGAACACCGGUGGCGAAGGCGGGUCUCUGGACAGUUCCUGACACUGAGGCACGAAGGCCAGGGGAGCAAACGGG